GACGAACGCUGGCGGCGUGCUUAACACAUGCAAGUCGAACGGUAAGGCCCUUUCGGGGGUACACGAGUGGCGAACGGGUGAGUAACACGUGGGUGAUCUGCCCUGCACUUUGGGAUAAGCCUGGGAAACUGGGUCUAAUACCGAAUAUUCCUUGCUGGUCGCAUGGCCUGGUGGGGGAAAGCUUUUGCGGUGUGGGAUGGGCCCGCGGCCUAUCAGCUUGUUGGUGGGGUGAUGGCCUACCAAGGCGACGACGGGUAGCCGGCCUGAGAGGGUGUCCGGCCACACUGGGACUGAGAUACGGCCCAGACUCCUACGGGAGGCAGCAGUGGGGAAUAUUGCACAAUGGGCGCAAGCCUGAUGCAGCGACGCCGCGUGAGGGAUGACGGCCUUCGGGUUGUAAACCUCUUUCAAUAGGGACGAAGCGCAAGUGACGGUACCUAUAGAAGAAGCACCGGCCAACUACGUGCCAGCCGCCGCAGUAACAC
RNAcentral lists this ribosomal RNA (485 nucleotides) under uncultured bacterium. Its description in RNAcentral is "bacterial SSU rRNA". It matches the Rfam family "Bacterial small subunit ribosomal RNA", at positions 28 to 526 of the family's 1533-position model. The record is from RNAcentral.